Equus quagga is the source of this 602-nucleotide long non-coding RNA. RefSeq lists it as uncharacterized. The record is from RefSeq and is a predicted model, not a curated record. NCBI's taxonomy places the organism in Eukaryota, Metazoa, Chordata, Mammalia, Perissodactyla, Equidae. The transcript is spliced from 4 exons.
CAGAGAUGUUGCAACCGUGAGCAAUCGCUAACCCUUUGCUGACACAUGUCAGCUGUCCAGUGCUCCACUUCUGUGCUUCCCAGUAACCAAGAGGCCUGUCUUAGGCAUCGUUAUCCCCAGCACUAAUCGCAGGGCCCAGCAAAGAGGGAUCACGGAUUUGAGCUCACGUCUAACUCUCAUUCUACUACAACAUGUGAAAUCUUUCUGUGAACCGCGAUGAGCCAUCUCCAGGAAAACCUCUACUCAUCCUCAAGAAGACCUCCACCAAGCCUUCACUGACCAACCCAGAGCCAGUUGUGACAGAACUCCUGCCUCCGUGCUCCCGAUGACCCUUCUCUGUAUGUCUAGUGCAUCACAUGUCAGAAUGCAUUUGCACACAUUGAUGCCAAGCUGCCAUGUUGGAGAUGCCCAUGUGGCAUGGAACUAAGGGGACCUUUCAGUCAACAGCUGGUGAGAAACUGAAACCCUCAGUCCAACAACCAUCUAGGAACUGAUGGGUUCCUACAACACACAUGGGUGAGGAAACCUACCAUCUGCUGUGAAGUCUCCUUUCCUGGAAAGAAAAACGGCCGCCAUUUUGUUCAGCUCCAGGCAUUAGGCAC